RNAcentral lists this ribosomal RNA (253 nucleotides) under uncultured bacterium. RNAcentral describes it as "partial 16S ribosomal RNA". It matches the Rfam family "Bacterial small subunit ribosomal RNA", at positions 524 to 776 of the family's 1533-position model. The record is from RNAcentral.
UACGAAGGGGGCUAGCGUUGUUCGGAAUUACUGGGCGUAAAGCGUGCGCAGGCGGCUUCUCAAGUCAGGGGUGAAAGCCCAGAGCUUAACUCUGGAAUUGCCUUUGAGACUGAGAGGCUUGAGUACGGGAGAGGUGAGUGGAAUUCCCAGUGUAGAGGUGAAAUUCGUAGAUAUUGGGAAGAACACCGGUGGCGAAGGCGGCUCACUGGCCCGUAACUGACGCUCAUGCACGACAGCGUAGGGAUCAAACAGG